Molecule: ribosomal RNA, 494 nt
Filed under: uncultured bacterium
Lineage: Bacteria
Description: partial 16S ribosomal RNA
Rfam family: Bacterial small subunit ribosomal RNA
Source: RNAcentral
GACGAACGCUGGCGGCGUGCUUAACACAUGCAAGUCGAACGGUGAAGCGCCUUCCUUUUUGGUGGGUGUGGAUGAGUGGCGAACGGGUGAGUAACACGUGGGUAACCUGCCCCCUUCUUCUGGAUAACCGCAUGAAAGUGUGGCUAAUACGGGAUAUUCUGGGUCUGUCGCAUGAUGGGUCUGGGAAAGAUAUUGUUUCGGUGGGGGAUGGGCUCGCGGCCUAUCAGCUUGUUGGUGGGGUGAUGGCCUACCAAGGCGGUGACGGGUAGCCGGCCUGAGAGGGUGGACGGUCACACUGGGACUGAGACACGGCCCAGACUCCUACGGGAGGCAGCAGUGGGGAAUAUUGCACAGUGGGCGCAAGCCUGAUGCAGCGACGCCGCGUGAGGGAUGGAGGCCUUCGGGUUGUGAACCUCUUUCGCCAGUGAAGCAGGCCUGCCUCGUUUGUGGGUGGGUUGACGGUAGCUGGAUAAGAAGCGCCGGCUAACUACGUG